GACAAUAGUGUGAUUUUCUAAGUGGACGUUGCGGACUGCAGCAAGUCUGCAAUCGGCAAGAUGGCUGGUGCCAUUGUGCGUUGUUUUCAGGUUCCGAGGAGGCAAUUGGGUUUCCUUGGGCCAUCGUUAAGCAGCCAGCAGCAAAGAACGCUUGCGGAUGCCGCUCCGGCAGGAAAGAAAAAGGGUGGUGCCCUGGCUGAUCAAGACCGUAUUUUCACGAAUUUGUACGGCAGACACGAUUGGAGGUUAAAGGGUGCUCUAAAAAGAGGAGACUGGUACAAAACCAAGGAAAUUGUUGAGAAGGGUGCAGAUUGGAUUAUCAAUGAGAUCAAAAUCUCUGGUCUGAGAGGAAGAGGAGGUGCUGGUUUCCCUUCUGGGAUGAAAUGGUCCUUCAUGAACAAGCCUUCUGAUGGAAGACCGAAGUACUUGGUAGUCAAUGGAGAUGAAGGAGAACCUGGUACCUGCAAAGAUCGUGAAAUCUUACGUCAUGAUCCUCACAAGCUAGUGGAAGGUUGCUUGAUUGCUGGUCGUGCAAUGGGAGCUUGUGCAGCAUACAUCUAUAUUCGUGGUGAAUUCUAUAAUGAAGCUUCAAAUAUGCAAGUUGCCAUCGCAGAGGCUUAUCAGGCAGGUCUUAUUGGAAAGAAUGCAUGUGGUUCUGGCUACGAUUUUGAUAUCUUUGUGCAAAGAGGGGCAGGAGCAUAUAUUUGUGGAGAAGAAACUGCUCUUAUUGAAUCUAUUGAAGGAAAACAGGGUAAACCUAGGUUGAAGCCACCUUUCCCAGCUGAUGUAGGAUUAUUUGGUUGUCCUACCACUGUCACUAAUGUUGAAACCGUGGCUGUGGCUCCUACAAUUUGUCGACGAGGUGGAGCAUGGUUUGCGUCAUUUGGCCGACCGCGUAAUCACGGUACCAAAUUAUUCAACAUCUCGGGGCACGUGAACAAUCCCUGCACUGUGGAGGAAGAAAUGUCCAUUCCUCUGAAGGAACUGAUAGAAAGGCAUGCUGGAGGAGUGAUUGGUGGAUGGGAUAAUCUACUGGGCGUCAUUCCUGGUGGAUCUUCCACUCCAGUGAUUCCCAAAAGCGUCUGCGACACGGUACUACUGGACUUCGAUGAUCUCGUCAGAGUGCAGAGUUCCUUCGGUACUGCAGCUGUUAUUGUUAUGAAUAAGCAGACAGAUAUCAUUAAGGCCAUUACGCGUCUUAUAAGCUUCUACAAACACGAAUCUUGCGGCCAAUGUACUCCGUGUCGCGAAGGAAUUAGUUGGAUGUACAAAAUACUGGGAAGGAUGGCUCGAGGACAAGCCGAAGUACACGAGAUAGACAUGCUCUGGGAGUUGACCAAACAGAUAGAAAUGCACACUAUCUGCGCUUUGGCGGAUGGUGCAGCAUGGCCAGUCCAAGGGCUGAUCAGGCAUUUCAGACCGGAAAUGGAAGAACGAAUUAAGGGGCAGAAGCAGAAUCUGUCUAAUUGAAAAUAAAGUGUAUAUUAGGCGAACCGAGAUGCGGUAUAGACAAUUUUCCUAUGUAAUUCUGCCGGACCGUAGUUAAGUUUUUGACGGUUGGGUAAAUAAAAUAGAAAUCGAUCGUACAAUAGCGGCCAUCUUGCGAUACAUUUAUAGCACGCAGGAAAUCAUUAAACUAAACCACAGCAAGAAGUAUUUCGGGGAGGAUUGCGAUUUUAUUUCAAUGAUACCGAAAUCCAAGGAAAUAGCAGACUCUAAUCUUGUUUGGAGUAACAUUGUUGGAACUUCAACAAUGAAUCAUCGAAGAUUCGCUUCGGUCUGUUUCAACGAAGCGUACAAGAUAAUUCAAUUAUAGCUUCAAUUAAAAAUAGAUGUUUUUAAUAAACUUUAUAUCUGUUAAAUAUAUCUUGUAAUUAUGACUCAAGAUGACAGCACCAUAUACAUUUUGUAGUUUAAA
This 1918-nucleotide unclassified non-coding RNA is filed under the name Habropoda laboriosa. RNAcentral describes it as "nADH dehydrogenase [ubiquinone] flavoprotein 1, mitochondrial, transcript variant X1". Lineage: Eukaryota; Metazoa; Arthropoda; Insecta; Hymenoptera; Apidae. The record is from RNAcentral.